RNAcentral lists this ribosomal RNA (370 nucleotides) under uncultured organism. RNAcentral describes it as "bacterial SSU rRNA". It matches the Rfam family "Bacterial small subunit ribosomal RNA", at positions 526 to 896 of the family's 1533-position model. The record is from RNAcentral.
CGUAGGGUGCGAGCGUUAAUCGGAAUUACUGGGCGUAAAGCGUGCGCAGGCGGUUAUAUAAGACAGAUGUGAAAUCCCCGGGCUCAACCUGGGAACUGCAUUUGUGACUGUAUAGCUAGAGUACGGCAGAGGGGGAUGGAAUUCCGCGUGUAGCAGUGAAAUGCGUAGAUAUGCGGAGGAACACCGAUGGCGAAGGCAAUCCCCUGGGCCUGUACCGACGCUCAUGCACGAAAGCGUGGGGAGCAAACAGGAUUAGAUACCCUGGUAGUCCACGCCCUAAACGAUGUCAACUGGUUGUUGGGUCUUCACUGACUCAGUAACGAAGCUAACGCGUGAAGUUGACCGCCUGGGGAGUACGGCCGCAAGGUUG